GAUGAACGCUGGCGGCGUGCCUAAUACAUGCAAGUCGAGCGAAUGGAUUAAGAGCUUGCUCUUAUGAAGUUAGCGGCGGACGGGUGAGUAACACGUGGGUAACCUGCCCAUAAGACUGGGAUAACUCCGGGAAACCGGGGCUAAUACCGGAUAACAUUUUGAACCGCAUGGUUCGAAAUUGAAAGGCGGCUUCGGCUGUCACUUAUGGAUGGACCCGCGUCGCAUUAGCUAGUUGGUGAGGUAACGGCUCACCAAGGCAACGAUGAGUAGCCGACCUGGGAGGGUGGUCGGCCACACUGGGACUGAGACACGGCCCAGACUCCGACGGGAGGCAGCAGUAGGGAAGCUUCCGCAAUGGACGAAAGUCUUACGGAGCAACGCCGCGUGAGUGAUGAAGGCUUUCGGGUCGUAAAACUCUGUUGUUAGGGAAGAACAAGUGCUAGUUGAAUAAGCUGGCACCUUGACGGUACCUAACCAGAAAGCCACGGCUAACUACGUGCCAGCCGCCGCAGUAA
RNAcentral lists this ribosomal RNA (515 nucleotides) under uncultured bacterium. Its description in RNAcentral is "partial 16S ribosomal RNA". It matches the Rfam family "Bacterial small subunit ribosomal RNA", at positions 28 to 523 of the family's 1533-position model. The record is from RNAcentral.